CUACGGGAGGCUCCAGUAAGGAAUAUUGCGCAAUGGAGGCAACUCUGACGCAGCCAUGCCGCGUGCAGGAAGAAGGCCUUAUGGGUCGUAAACUGCUUUUAUUUAGGAAUAAACCCCCGAACGUGUUCGGGGCUGAAGGUACUAAACGAAUAAGCACCGGCUAACUCCGUGCCAGCAGCCGCGGUAAUACGGAGGGUGCGAGCGUUAUCCGGAUUUAUUGGGUUUAAAGGGUGCGCAGGCGGGCUAUUAAGUCAGUGGUGAAAUCCCGGGGCUCAACUCCGGAACUGCCAUUGAUACUGAUAGUCUUGAGUUUGGUUGAAGUGGGCGGAAUGUAGCAUGUAGCGGUGAAAUGCAUAGAUAUGCUACAGAACACCAAUCGCGAAGGCAGCUCACUAGGCCAAAACUGACGCUCAUGCACGAAAGCGUGGGGAUCAAACAGGAUUAGAUACCCUUGUAGUC
This 459-nucleotide ribosomal RNA is filed under the name uncultured bacterium. RNAcentral describes it as "partial 16S ribosomal RNA". It matches the Rfam family "Bacterial small subunit ribosomal RNA", at positions 339 to 795 of the family's 1533-position model. The record is from RNAcentral.